UACGGAGGGGGCGAGCGUUAUCCGGAUUUACUGGGUGUAAAGGGAGCGUAGACGGCGUCGCAAGUCUGAAGUGAAAGCCCGUGGCUCAACCGCGGAACCGCUUUGGAAACUGCGAGGCUGGAGUGCUGGAGAGGUAAGCGGAAUUCCUGGUGUAGCGGUGAAAUGCGUAGAUAUCAGGAGGAACACCGGUGGCGAAGGCGGCUUACUGGACAGUGACUGACGUUGAGGCUCGAAAGCGUGGGGAGCGAACAGG
This 253-nucleotide ribosomal RNA is filed under the name uncultured bacterium. Its description in RNAcentral is "partial 16S ribosomal RNA". It matches the Rfam family "Bacterial small subunit ribosomal RNA", at positions 524 to 776 of the family's 1533-position model. The record is from RNAcentral.